This 29-nucleotide small RNA is filed under the name Bombyx mori (domestic silkworm). RNAcentral's name for it is "ovarian small RNA-4376". The record is from RNAcentral. Lineage: Eukaryota; Metazoa; Arthropoda; Insecta; Lepidoptera; Bombycidae.
ACAUCGACGGAGACCACGUUACCGUGGAC